AAACACCCAAGCCCUGCUUGGUGAUGGAGGCGGCUUUCGCCGUCGUCCGCAAUCCGUCGGCUGCGGCGCCCGUCCGUGAAAGUAGUGAGACACAUCUUUCUGCGGAUGUCGGCGUGCCCUGCAGGCCCAACGAACCCCCAAAU
This 143-nucleotide unclassified non-coding RNA is filed under the name uncultured Dothideomycetes. Its description in RNAcentral is "sequence contains ITS2". Lineage: Eukaryota; Fungi; Ascomycota; Dothideomycetes. The record is from RNAcentral.